AUUUAAUUAUGCAAGUGUUGCAGCUUUCUGAUGAGCAGAUACAAAUGCUCCCACCAAACAACGCUCUUCCAUCAUUCAGCUUAAGGAACAGAUACAGCGUUCACAGCACUAAGUCUUUUUGAUGAUCAUGGAGUAAAGCUCACGCCUAACCGGAAGUGAUGUACAUAAGGAUUUAAAGAUAUAUGGUAAACUAUUGUUCAUUUCAUCCUAUCCCCUUGUUAAUAUAGAAUAUGUAUACAGUUUAUUGAUUUUUAUGAGUUGACAGUUGUCACAGGAAAUCUGUAAUGAUGUUUCAUAAUUACCAUUGCCUUUUAUAAAUGUAUUCUAGUGUUAGGAAUGGAAAAUAAGUUAAUUACAAAUGCUUUCAAGAUAGUUUCCAGGUACAUAUGUGCUGCUCGUGGGAAGCUGUUGCAAGUGGAGCUUGUGCUCUAAUUUAGUCAGUAUGUUUGUAUGAAAUAAGAUUUUAAAUUUCUAGAUUUGAUAACAUGCUCUGUUUUUUGGCUCUCAAAGUGUAUGUCUAAAUUACUAAUGAAAAGAUGUGAAAAUAUUUUUCAACUGGAGGGAGAACAAGAUACUAUGUAAUAUACCUUGAAUAUUUAGCACUGUAUAGGAAUACUUUUAUAUAAAAAAGCAUAUAUGCUAUCUUUGUUUCAUGUGCGAUAUUUUAGUUCCUACUUUGUAUGUUAUUUCUUGCAAUUAAUCGCUUACAGGAAUAUAGGUUAGUCUCCAUUCA
This is a long non-coding RNA of Macrobrachium nipponense, 733 nucleotides long. RefSeq lists it as uncharacterized. The transcript is spliced from 2 exons. The record is from RefSeq and is a predicted model, not a curated record. Lineage: Eukaryota; Metazoa; Arthropoda; Malacostraca; Decapoda; Palaemonidae.